This is an unclassified non-coding RNA of Acanthaster planci (crown-of-thorns starfish), 2410 nucleotides long. NCBI's taxonomy places the organism in Eukaryota, Metazoa, Echinodermata, Asteroidea, Valvatida, Acanthasteridae. The record is from RefSeq and is a predicted model, not a curated record.
UCUUAAUUUUGAUGUCCCGACAGUUUUGACAAAUGGUAAAUUUUGUCCAUGUGAUGUGCCUUUCACUACUUCACUGUGUAUCUCUCUUUGUUACAAAUUGUUCAAUACUGACUUUGUCAAUGCUUGUAAUAGUAAUGCACUGAUCAAGUAGACCGAUUAAAAGAGAAAAAUUCUGAUUUUGAAGACUUGGCUUGAAUUCAAGAUUAUUAGCGCAACCUACAGAAGUAAAAAAAAUAGGCUCCUCACGCGUACAUGUACGUGUAACCUGCAAUCAAUUUGGCUCAUAAUCUUUGCUGAUGAUUGGGCAAAGUCGUGAAGCAUAAUGACACAGAUUAACCAUGUUGUACAUCACCAUGACAACACUGCUUACUUAACUUCACUGCUUGUACCAGUAACCUUGGCAACCCAAUUAAAGGCCCAGAGCCAAGAUAUGGGCUUAACAUGCAUGUAUUUGCCAAAGAAGCAGUGAUCAACUCUCAAUCACUGCUUUGCACACCAAUUCAAAAUGGUUGCAUCUCCAACGGUAUGAUUUGCUCAAACAAUCUGCUUCAUGAAGGUUCCUAGCAAUUGGUGAAAUCAGUACAGAAGAAUUAUUUUAAGAACACUUUGUGUUGGUCUGGUAGUAUCUAACAGUGAUGUUACCAAAACGGUUCAUCUUGGGCUUGAUGAGUCUUUAUCUAAUGACUGAGGCCACAGGCGGUAUUGAGAGGUGUGUGAUAAUUGGAGCAGCAUGUCCACCUGCUUGGAUCCAGUGGGAGGACAAAUGCUACAGAGCCACCCAGCCCUUGGGAUGGUUUGAGGCCAAACAGGAGUGCAUCAAGAUGGGAAGCGUCUUGGUUGUGCCACAGUCUAACGAAGAAAAUGAGUUCCUCGCAAGGAUAACACCAGAGUUUUGGAUCAAUUGCAACGAUCUUCAAAUUGAAGGAGUUUGGGUGUGCCUGGACGGAACUGCUGAAGUGCAGUACCAAAAUUGGGAACAGGGGGAACCAACCAGAUAACACCAGAGUGUUGGAUCAAUUGCAACAAUCUAGAAGGAGUUUGGGUGUGCCUGGAUGGGACUGUUGCAGUGCAGUACCCCAAUUGGGAAAAGGAGGAACCAAACAUUGGACUGGGUAAAGAGCACUGUGCUGAGGUGUGGAAACCUGGCCCAAGGAAUGACGGAACAUGUGACUCUCAGAAUCCUGCUAUCUGCAAACAACCCAUGGUACCCCGGCUGCACUUCUAACCUCGCAAAGCAAACUACUGUAUUUUGAUAUUGAAGGCUCUUUCAUACUUGCUGUGAAAGCCAACACAGAUGCAACUCGGUGACAUCAAACAUUUGUACUGUAAAUCUGCAUAAGUACACGUACAUGAAGAACACACCAACUCGGGCAAUUUUUCACUGCACAAUGUUGUGUCAUCCCACUUGCAGGUGAACUCAAAAGCAUUCAACCACAAUGUAAGUGAAAUUUAUUAUUACAAAUGGCCAUUUUGUUGAUCUUGGAAAUGACUGUCACACACUAGAACGCAUUCAUAAUCUAAUCAAGUUUAUCACUGCAUGUAAGUCAUCCUAACUCUACGGUGAUGUGCGUAUUGUUCAAGUUGUAAAUUUUCAAGAUUCAGAAUUUAAAAGUACAUUGUUAAUGGAAUACCAACAUGAACGAAUUUUCUGCCAAUUUUUGCUCAAUUUGUACUGUUUUCCAGGCAGAGCCUCAAACUGCACAUUUCACAGAGGAAUUACAGAACACGCAGAAAGUACCAAUUCAGUGUUUUUCAUCAAAAACGUUUUGCAUGUGAACAUUGUUAUAAAAACAGUUGCCUUGGAAACAGAGAAUCACAUUGAGAUGAAUGUUGCAGUUGACAGUUUAAAGUAUUGUGCUUGUGACUGUCAGAGAUUUCAACUGGGUAAAAUGAGCAUUAACACUGUCGGAUAUUUGAAAGAGUAAGGGUUGACGAUUUGCAUUUCAGCACUGUGAAUUCAUGUGAUCCUUUGUAUUAUAUUUCAAAAUUCACCUUCUACAAUUUGAUUGUAAUGUAUUUGUAUUGCAUUUGCAUUCAUUGUCCGAUUUCGGUCGGGGGAAACAGGAUGGCAGAUCAAUUAUUUUGACUUUAUACAAAAUGACGUUUGUCGUCAUUUCACUUAUAAGUUUAAGCAGUUAAACAGUAAGAACGCAAACACCUAUUUGUGCUACACAAUUUGCCGAGUAAAUUGUAAAUUAUAAAAGCAGUUUCUCAUCAUUUGAGUUGCUUUCUUAUACGGCAGAUUUUUCUGAAAUGGUGGAUGCAUCGUCUGAAUUCCUUUGCUGUUCCUUCUGUUUCUACAACAAGUACAUGUAAAACAACCUUCAUGGAUAUAAACAGCAUUUUGCUUCAUAGCCAUAAAUUGUUAGAAACAAAUAAUACACAGAAUAUAUGCUGCAUAUAACCUAUA